Molecule: ribosomal RNA, 454 nt
Filed under: uncultured bacterium
Lineage: Bacteria
Description: bacterial SSU rRNA
Rfam family: Bacterial small subunit ribosomal RNA
Source: RNAcentral
AACGAACGCUGGCGGCAGGCCUAACACAUGCAAGUCGAACGGGCGUAGCAAUACGUCAGUGGCAGACGGGUGAGUAACACGUGGGAACCUACCCGAUGGUACGGAAUAACUCAGGGAAACUUGAGCUAAUACCGAAUAAGCCCGAAAGGGGAAAGAUUUAUCGCCAUCGGAAGGGCCCGCGCCGGAUUAGCUUGUUGGUGAGGUAACGGCUUACCAAGGCAACGAUCCGUAGCUGGUCUGAGAGGAUGACCAGCCACACUGGGACUGAGACACGGCCCAGACUCCUACGGGAGGCAGCAGUGGGGAAUCUUGGACAAUGGGCGAAAGCCUGAUCCAGCCAUGCCGCGUGAGUGAAGAAGGCCCUAGGGUUGUAAAGCUCUUUCGGCGGGGACGAUAAUGACGGUACCCGCAGAAGAAGCCCCGGCUAACUCCGUGCCAGCAGCCGCAGUAACAC